UGAGCUUCCAAACAGCAGAUGGCGCUGUCUUAGAUCUGCUGUGCUGAAUCUGAGGCGGCUCCGGUCUGUCCUUUACAUGAUGAGGUUUAUCUCUGUGUUUAACGGCUCUGACUCUCCCCCAGGACAAGACGAGGAGGAAAUGUCAAAAAGAAAAGAACAGCCUCUGGCUCUGAGCCUCCAGAGGGCAGCACUGAGCCUCCAGAGGGCAGCACUGAGCCACAGCUCUAUGGGACAAAACGCAGAUCCACAGCCUCAGUGUCCGCUCUGUCCAUGAAGAGUGACUGGUCUAAAGGCCACGUUCCAAACUUCAGUCCUGAACCUGCUCCAGACUCACGAAGCAGAUCCACAGCCUCAGUGUCCGCUCUGUCCAUGAAGAGUGACUGGUCUAAAGGCCACGUUCCAAACUUCAGUCCUGAACCUGCUCCAGACUCACGAAGCAGAUCUACAGCCUCAGUGUCCGCUCUGUCCAUGAAGAGUGACUGGUCUAAAGGCCACGUUCCAAACUUCAGUCCUGAACCUGCUCCAGACUCACGAGAAACAGAGUCAGAGCAGGACGCCUGGCCUCAGUGUGGAGACACAGGCAACAGUCCUGAUCAGUGGGUUCAAGGCCCUGCACCAGGUGAGUCUGCUCAGUCUGAGACUCAUGAACUACAGCAGGGAAUAAGAGACCUGUUCAUCAACAUUAACAGGUG
This 692-nucleotide long non-coding RNA is filed under the name Neogobius melanostomus (round goby). Its description in RNAcentral is "lncRNA (ENSNMLG00000026962.1)". Lineage: Eukaryota; Metazoa; Chordata; Actinopteri; Gobiiformes; Gobiidae. The record is from RNAcentral.